GGGCCGCGCCGGCUGGCUCAUCGGUUCUCAGGGUAGAGUCCCAUCCCUGGCCCGCAGUCCGAACAAUCGAUUACACCAUCGAUACACAAACAGCUGUGGCGAACGGAACUACACAACACUACAACAAAAGUCGACGGAAAUCCACAACAUAAACAACAAAACCUGCAAUAAACUACAAAACGGAUCCCGGUUCCGGACCCAGGCGUACCCGCCCUGCCUGAGAUGACCACCUCAACGUCAUCUCCCUCUUGUUGGCCACCGAAUGGACCUACUUCAUCCUGUGUUGGCCAUCGUGUUUCUCCCUCCCCCCUACAGCAAUAAUUAUACGGACAUUUUCAUGUUCAGAUGGACGAGGAACGAAAACAUGGCCAUCAACAUAAAUAAUGGCAUAUACAAAUUUGCACCGUAAAUGUGCGACACAAGGCUGUUGCGGAGACGCCGCGGGACAAAUAUAUAUAUAUAUAUAUAUAUAUAUAUGUUUAUACGUAUGUAUGUUAUGGAAUGGUAUGUUAAGGUUAAAUGUGAAUCGCUUAAUAUUACCUUAGCCUGCCUAAAGAGCUCUCUGGGUGGUUUAAGGGGCGAUGUAAGGCUUUCAGUUAAUUUCGUUUAUCUUUAAGAUAAUAAAUUUUAAGUUUAAUUCUUUGUUCACUUUUCGUCUAUUUUUGCCAAUAAAGCUUAGACAGCGACUGCUCUACACAAAACGCACUAUGUGUAAUUAUUCAUAAAAAAAAA
Molecule: long non-coding RNA, 732 nt
Organism: Drosophila innubila
Lineage: Eukaryota; Metazoa; Arthropoda; Insecta; Diptera; Drosophilidae
Exons: 4
Source: RefSeq, a predicted model, not a curated record